CACGUAGGGGGCGAGCGUUGUCCGGAUUCAUUGGGCGUAAAGGGCGCGCAGGCGGCCCGGCAAGUCGGAUGUGAAAACUCGGGGCUCAACCCCGAGCGUGCACCCGAUACUGCCGGGCUUGAGGCAGGUAGGGGAGAUCGGAAUUCCUGGUGUAGCGGUGAAAUGCGCAGAUAUCAGGAAGAACACCCGUGGCGAAGGCGGCUCUCUGGGACGUUACUGACGCUGAGACGCGAAAGCGUGGGGAGCGAACAGG
Molecule: ribosomal RNA, 253 nt
Filed under: uncultured bacterium
Lineage: Bacteria
Description: partial 16S ribosomal RNA
Rfam family: Bacterial small subunit ribosomal RNA
Source: RNAcentral